UGUAAGCGUAUACCAAAGUUGUUGCAGUUAAAACGCUCGUAGUCGGAAUUUGGCAGUUCCGGAUGUGUGCACGUCGUGUGCGCACUUCGCGGGGAUUGCUUUUGUGGUCUUGCGUAGGAUGAGGCACUUUUAUUAGUGAACGUCCUCACGCAACCACUUUUUACUGUGAGAAAAUCAGAGUGCUCAAAGCAGGCAUUUGCCGUGAAUGUAUUAGCAUGGAAUAAUAGAAUAGGACUUGGUUCUAUUUUGUUGGUUUGUUGGGACUGAGUAAUGAUAAAGAGGGACAGUUGGGGGCAUUUGUAUUUCGGUGCUAGAGGUGAAAUUCUUAGAUUACCGAAAGACAAACUGCUGCGAAAGCGUCUGCCAAGGAUGUUUUCAUUGA
RNAcentral lists this ribosomal RNA (382 nucleotides) under uncultured eukaryote. RNAcentral's name for it is "partial 18S ribosomal RNA". It matches the Rfam family "Eukaryotic small subunit ribosomal RNA", at positions 592 to 976 of the family's 1831-position model. The record is from RNAcentral.